Molecule: ribosomal RNA, 1236 nt
Filed under: metagenome
Description: bacterial SSU rRNA
Rfam family: Bacterial small subunit ribosomal RNA
Source: RNAcentral
ACCAAGGCAUUGAUGGGUAGUUGGUCUGAGAGGACGACCAGCCACAUUGGGACUGAGAUACGGCCCAGACUCCUACGGGAGGCAGCAGUGGGGAAUCUUGGACAAUGGGGGAAACCCUGAUCCAGCGACACCGCGUGGGGGAUGAAGGCUUUCGGGUUGUAAACCCCUUUUCUGGGGGAAGAAUAAGGUUGGGAGGAAAUGCCCAUCCGAUGACGGUACUCCAGGAAUAAGCAUCGGCAAACUUCGUGCCAGCAGCCGCGGUAAGACGAAGGAUGCGAGCGUUAUCCGGAAUUACUGGGCGUAAAGGGCGUCUAGGCGGUUGGGUAAGUCACUUGUGAAAGCCCUCGGCUUAACCGAGGAAAGUCUCGUGAUACUGCCCAGCUUGGGUGUAGGAGAGGGGAGUGGAACUCACAGAGUAGCGGUGGAAUGCGUAGAUACUGUGAGGUACCCCGAUGGCGAAGGCAACUCCCUGGCCUACUACCGACGCUGAAGCGCGAAAGCGUGGGGAGCAAAGGGGAUUAGAUACCCCCGUAGUCCACGCCCCAAACGAUGUUCACUUGGUGUCGGCCGCAAAUAUAGGUCGGUGCCGGAGCUAACGCGUUAAGUGAACCGCCUGAGGAGUACGGCCGCAAGGCUAAAACUCAAGAGAAUUGACGGGUCCCCGCACAAGCGGUGGAGCACGUGGUUUAAUUCGAUUUAAGCGAAGAACCUCACCCAGGCUUGACAUACUAGUGGUAGGAACCUGAAAGGGGGACGACCCUGCCUUCGGGUAGGGAGCUAGUACAGGUGAUGCAUGGCUGUCGUCAGCUCGUGUCGUGGGAUGUAGGGUUAAGUCCCGAAACGAGCGCAACCCUUGUCGUUAGUUGCCAGCGGGUAAUGCCGGGGACUCUAGCGAGACUGCUGGUGAAUAGCCGGAGGAAGGCGGGGAUGACGUCAAGUCAUCAUGUCCCUUAUGCCUGGGGCGACACACAUGCUACAAUGGGGGGUACAGAGGGUCGCAAUACCGUAAGGUGGAGCCAAUCUCAAAAAAACCCUCCUCAGUUCGGAUUGAGGUCUGCAACUCGACCUCAUGAAGCCGGAAUCGCUAGUAAUCGUAGGUCAGCCAUACUACGGUGAAUAUGUACUCGGGGAUUGUACACACCGCCCGUCACACCAACCGAGUGGGGGGUACCUGAAGUCGUCUCCAUGAGGCGCCGAGGGUAACCUUCGCAAGAGGGGUGAAGUCGUAACAAGGUA